This 247-nucleotide long non-coding RNA is filed under the name Phoenix dactylifera (date palm). RNAcentral describes it as "long non-coding RNA (PDAC_LNC001328)". Lineage: Eukaryota; Viridiplantae; Streptophyta; Magnoliopsida; Arecales; Arecaceae. The record is from RNAcentral.
UCAUGCCAGAGGGUACCAGGGAACUUUAAAUGCUUAUGUUGGGAAGCCGAGGUCUGCUUAACAAAUUCACAUAGUGGUGGUCCUAAAAGAUGAGACUUUUAUGUGAAAAUACAAAUAUCCAACCAAGGUCAAUCAUACCAGCCUGCCCUGCCCUGUAGUGACCAUAACAUACCAAUAAGUUACCCAGGUUUGAUUCGGUAUAUCAGCCCAACCAGUCCGUACCAAUUUGAACGGAGCUGAAUCACCC